GAUGAACGCUAGCUACAGGCUUAACACAUGCAAGUCGAGGGGAAACGACAUCGAAAGCUUGCUUUUGAUGGGCGUCGACCGGCGCACGGGUGAGUAACGCGUAUCCAACCUGCCCAUCACUUGGGAAUAACCUUGCGAAAGUAAGACUAAUACCCAAUGAUAUCCCACGAAGGCAUCGGAAUGGGAUUAAAGAUUUAUCGGUGAUGGAUGGGGAUGCGUCUGAUUAGCUUGUUGGCGGGGUAACGGCUCACCAAGGCAACGAUCAGUAGGGGUUCUGAGAGGAAGGUCCCCCACAUUGGAACUGAGACACGGUCCAAACUCCUACGGGAGGCAGCAGUGAGGAAUAUUGGUCAAUGGGCGAGAGCCUGAACCAGCCAAGUAGCGUGCAGGAAGACGGCCCUAUGGGUUGUAAACUGCUUUUAUAAGGGAAUAAAGUGGGUCACGUGUGACUUUUUGCAUGUACCUUAUGAAUAAGGACCGGCUAAUUCCGUG
Molecule: ribosomal RNA, 492 nt
Filed under: uncultured bacterium
Lineage: Bacteria
Description: partial 16S ribosomal RNA
Rfam family: Bacterial small subunit ribosomal RNA
Source: RNAcentral